ACUAAUCAUAAAUUAGGUUCCUCAUAAGAUUAAUAUAUUCUUUACAUAUGGUCUAUGGAACUUAUGCGAAAAAGACAUGACCAUACUUGAGGAACCCAUUCAACUAAGCAAACAUUAAAAACAGGAUUGAUUUACAAAAUAUCCACACAAGAACUAAAAAGAAAAAAGAAAAACCUAAUUUAUGUUCUAACUUAGAAUAUGACAAGCAGAAAUUGAAAAAAAAAAUGAAGUUUCUGAUGCAAGUCUGGAAUAUCAAGUGGAAAAACACCAAGUUCAAGCAAAUGAUCCCAUUCUUGAAACUUGCGAUAAUGCAUCUUCGAACUGCUCAUCGUCCAGCUUCUCAGAGUUCAAGCUUGGUGGGAUGAAGGAUCUGAAGAGUUGUUCCAUGUUAGGAACUUCCUUCAGCUCACGGCAAGCAACUUCAAGAGGUGUGUUACAAAAAGAGCGGUAGAAUUUCUUGGAACAGACAUAGACGAAGAUCAAGGAAAUUAUGGGAAGCGGAAUCAGCAUUGGAGUAUAAUAGAAUUCCUUCACCCCAAAGUAACCAAACAUUGUGACUUGGAACAAUAACAGAGAAGCAAGUAUUCGUGUAUGCAUAUGGGGCCACAUCCUUCCAUAGCUCUCAAAGGAUGGAACAAAGACUUUAAGUGCCUGAUUUCGUAAAACAAGCCAUCCCAGGCCAAAGUACACAACUCCAAAUGGGAUAAUCAGAGGAGCUAUGACAGAGUAGCAGAGGACAAUUGUGAUGAUAAGCAUGUCACCAGGAACUCUGGUUGCAUAUCCAAAAUCUCCAGGAGCCCAAGCCUCUUUCAACUCAGUUUCAGUCUUGCAAAGGUACUUCCUUUUCAGAUGAUAAAUGAUUAGAGGAACCACACGUGAAAGCUCAAGUCCAUAUCCAACAAAGAACCUGAGAUCAAUGAAAUAUGUAGAAGUCAGACAUUAAUUUAACAGGUACUAGAAUGCAUAGAAGUAGCAUUAUUGUAACUGGAUUUAUCUCUAGCAAAAACCCCUCAUAGAGAAAAGAAAUAUUUAGGAAGGAUUAAUAUAUCCACUAAUCUCAGUAAAGAUGAAAUUUAAAAAAAAAAAUGCAAAUGUGUUGUCUUCAUAUCCAUCUGGUUUAUGGUUCAGAAACCAGGAGGAUAUAACAUAGCUAAAGGCGUAUAAUCUUCUAGAAGGACAAGACUGAAAAUGAAAGCAAUGACAAAAAAUCUUACUUCAGGGCCACAAAGGUAAGAAAGAAAGUUGCAUUGCCAGGGAGGCCGUUUCCUAGCAAUUUAACUAUAGAAUCUGGAUUCUUCUGAAUGCUCUUGAAUGUACUGAACAAGGUUCCACCGAUUGUAACUCCAAUAAAAACAUUCAAAACAGUGAAAUAAAAGUACUUUCCAGACGUAGCCCUUACUGCAUGGCUCUGUGAAGGAAUUCCCUCUGCCUUGGAGAGAAACAAAAGCAACUUGGGCAACAAUGCCAAAAAGACGAUGAGUGCAAUCUGAGGGAGGUAGGCUUCCAACACUGUCUUGAUUGCAACAAUGUUCACAACUGGCUUUAGGAAUGGGAGAAUUUUCUUCAGAUUGUCCAAAGUUGUUAAUGCAGAAAUAAACCCAAUUGGUAUCAUGUAAAACAAUAUGGUCAGAGCCACAAUAAUGUAUACCACGUACUGUCGUAUUUGCCUCUUGAAAAACUUAAUUUUAAGAUUAGUCCAUAAAAGUUGACGAGGCUCAGGAGCUUCCAUGGCAGUCCAUGUGUCAACCAUUUGGUCAUGCAGACUCUGAGAUGCAGAAGCAGCUGUCACCCUACUGGUGAAAAAGACCAAAGCAGAAGGCUGCUGCUUGUCUCGUAAUGUAACUUUUUGUGCAGCUUCCAAUUUUGUGACUAGUUCCUUAAUCUUCUCAUUGAAGUACUCUAUGCUAUCUACUUUCUUACCAAUGAGACCAAGGAAGCCAGUUUUGGUGGUAGGUCUUGACCCUUCUGGUUUGCCUGAUUCCUUGGACUCGGCAUAUAUGGCUUCUGCAUGUGCAAGCUUUUUCUUGUACCCUUCCAACUCUUCAUAAAUUUUGUUAACCUCUUUAUUGUUUGUAACCACCAUCGAUCUGUAAAAUGUCUCAGGGUAGAUGGAUUUAAAAUAUGAAUCCACCUGUUCCUUUAGAGUUUGGCCCUCAGGAGGAGGAGGUAUGUCCCUAACAAGAACAGCGAAUUGCUCUGCUUUUACUUCUGGAGACAUUAAAGCCUUAGCUCUCAGCCCAGAAACAUGUAUGUAUGCUUUCCAUAACAUGUAAUAGGUGACAAAAGAAACCCAGUAGGUAGCAAUCAGGAAUGCCCACAGCCUUGGACUCUUCUCCUUAACAUGUCCCAUAGAUAACUUGUCAAGAUCAUUGAAACUCCCCUCACUUGUAGAAUUUGUGACUUUCAAUCUUUUUUCAGUCGCAGCAACAGGGAGAAGAACUGGUAGAAGAAUGAUGCCGGAUACAACCAAUAUUGACAACACUGUACUCAAGAACACAAAAUAGACAGCACUGUCAAUGCCAGACAUGUUUAUGAUAUCCUCUUCACUGGAAGACAACGCUUCCCGUAUCCAAGCGAAAGGGUUGCGAGUUCGGGACCCUCCCUCCAAUGGAUCCAAGCCUUUCAAGAUCCGGUUGGGGUAAUAAACGACAGUGUUUCCAGGUUUUCUGGAAAGCCAUGUAAAAAGCAUCAUCAAAAUCACAAAGAUUACAAAGGAAGUCCCCAAGGAGGUCAAGAAGGAAGAAAAAUCCAUAUCUCAGCGCACAGAGACACACUCUGGGAACUAGCUCUCUCCUUGUCUGAGUUUGGCAGACAAAAAUGAAGAAAGAGUAUGGUGUUAUGAGAGAAAGAAGUAGCCGUUAAGAGAACGAAUAUGGAGGGGUUAAAGAUCUAUAUUAAUUAGAAGCAUUGAUGGGUGGUGGUUGUAACGUGGAUAGGGAUAAACGAGCAGGG
Molecule: unclassified non-coding RNA, 2952 nt
Filed under: Hevea brasiliensis (rubber tree)
Lineage: Eukaryota; Viridiplantae; Streptophyta; Magnoliopsida; Malpighiales; Euphorbiaceae
Source: RNAcentral